AUUGAACGCUGGCGGCAGGCCUAACACAUGCAAGUCGAGCGGAUGAAGGGAGCUUGCUCCUGGAUUCAGCGGCGGACGGGUGAGUAAUGCCUAGGAAUCUGCCUGGCAGUGGGGGAUAACGUCCGGAAACGGGCGCUAAUACCGCAUAAGUCCUGAGGGAGAAAGUGGGGGAUCUUCGGACCUCACGCUAUCAGAUGAGCCUAGGUCGGAUUAGCUAGUUGGUGGGGUAAAGGCCUACCAAGGCGACGAUCCGUAACUGGUCUGAGAGGAUGAUCAGUCACACUGGAACUGAGACACGGUCCAGACUCCUACGGGAGGCAGCAGUGGGGAAUAUUGGACAAUGGGCGAAAGCCUGAUCCAGCCAUGCCGCGUGUGUGAAGAAGGUCUUCGGAUUGUAAAGCACUUUAAGUUGGGAGGAAGAGCAGUAAGUUAAUACCUUGCUGUUUUGACGUUACCAACAGAAUAAGCACCGGCUAACUUCGUG
RNAcentral lists this ribosomal RNA (484 nucleotides) under uncultured bacterium. Its description in RNAcentral is "partial 16S ribosomal RNA". It matches the Rfam family "Bacterial small subunit ribosomal RNA", at positions 30 to 507 of the family's 1533-position model. The record is from RNAcentral.